UUUCUUGUAUUGAACUUCAUGCGCAACUGGAAUGGCCUCCGUCUAAUUAAUUUCAUAAGCAAGGAUUCUAACGACCUAAGGUGCACUUUUCUACUGGACUUGCUGACGUUCAAGACAAAUGAAGCUUCUCUUCCAGAUUGGGUUAAACUCCAGCUCAGCCAGCUUAGGGAUUAGACUAGUAGACAACAUUAUCCGCAAACAUUUCCCUAUAGAUUUUCUUCAUUCGUAGCCAGCCACACUGUACUUUGCUUAACUAUGUCAUUGUAUUUGCAUAUUCUCCUUACUUUCAGAAAUGAAUAUCAAUCUCUA
Long non-coding RNA from Triticum aestivum (bread wheat), 309 nucleotides. RefSeq lists it as uncharacterized. NCBI's taxonomy places the organism in Eukaryota, Viridiplantae, Streptophyta, Magnoliopsida, Poales, Poaceae. The transcript is spliced from 2 exons. The record is from RefSeq and is a predicted model, not a curated record.